UAGGGAAUAUUGCUCAAUGGGCGAAAGCCUGAAGCAGCAACGCCGCGUGCACGAUGAAGGCCUUCGGGUCGUAAAGUGCUUUUCUGGGAGAUGAGAAAGGACAGUAUCCCAGGAAUAAGUCUCGGCUAACUACGUGCCAGCAGCCGCGGUAAAACGUAGGAGGCGAGCGUUAUCCGGAUUCACUGGGCGUAAAGCGCGUGCAGGUGGCUUGGUAAGUUAGGCGUGAAAUCUCCCGGCUCAACUGGGAGAGGUCGUCUAAUACUACCGGGCUAGAGAGCAGAAGAGGGAGAUGGAAUUCCCGGUGUAGUGGUGAAAUGCGUAGAUAUCGGGAGGAACACCAGUGGCGAAGGCGAUCUUCUGGUCUGUUUCUGACACUCAGACGCGACAGCUAGGGUAGUAAACGGGAUUAGAGACCCCGGUAAUCCUAGCCGUAAACGAUGUGAACUUGGCGUUGGUGGGUUAAACUCCAUCAGUGCCGCAGCAAACGCGAUAAGUUCACCGCCUGGGGACUACGGCCGCAAGGUUAA
Molecule: ribosomal RNA, 527 nt
Filed under: uncultured Anaerolineaceae bacterium
Lineage: Bacteria; Bacillati; Chloroflexota; Anaerolineae; Anaerolineales; Anaerolineaceae
Description: bacterial SSU rRNA
Rfam family: Bacterial small subunit ribosomal RNA
Source: RNAcentral